RNAcentral lists this ribosomal RNA (540 nucleotides) under uncultured Geobacteraceae bacterium. RNAcentral's name for it is "bacterial SSU rRNA". It matches the Rfam family "Bacterial small subunit ribosomal RNA", at positions 9 to 526 of the family's 1533-position model. The record is from RNAcentral. Lineage: Bacteria; Pseudomonadati; Thermodesulfobacteriota; Desulfuromonadia; Geobacterales; Geobacteraceae.
GAGUUUGAUCCUGGCUCAGAACGAACGCUGGCGGCGUGCCUAACACAUGCAAGUCGAACGUGAUCCAGAGCUUGCUCUGGUGAAAGUGGCGCACGGGUGAGUAACGCGUGGAUAACCUACCCUGGUAUCCGGGAUAACAUUCCGAAAGGGGUGCUAAUACCGGAUAAGCCCACGGGCUCUUUGGAGCUUGCGGGAAAAGGUGGCCUCUAUUUAUAAGCUACUGUAUCAGGAUGGGUCCGCGUACCAUUAGCUAGUUGGCGGUGUAACGGACCACCAAGGCGACGAUGGUUAGCUGGUCUGAGAGGAUGAUCAGCCACACUGGAASUGAGACMCGGUCCAGACUCCUACGGGAGGCAGCAGUGGGGAAUUUUGCGCAAUGGGGGAAACCCUGACGCAGCAACGCCGCGUGAGUGAUGAAGGCCUUUGGGUCGUAAAGCUCUGUCAGAGGGGAAGAAAUGAUAUAGUGCUAAUACCACUUUAUCUUGACGGUACCCUCAAAGGAAGCACCGGCUAACUCCGUGCCAGCAGCCGCGGUAAUAC